AGAUAUUCCCGCACUUGCAA
This 20-nucleotide small nuclear RNA is filed under the name Arabidopsis thaliana (thale cress). RNAcentral describes it as "snRNA_10088". The record is from RNAcentral. Lineage: Eukaryota; Viridiplantae; Streptophyta; Magnoliopsida; Brassicales; Brassicaceae.